GACGAACGCUGGCGGCGUGCCUAAUACAUGCCAGUUGAGCGCAGAAGGUUGGUACUUGUACCAACGGGAUGAGCAGCGAACGGGUGAGUAACGCGUGGGGAAUCUGCCUUUGAGCGGGGGACAACAUCUGGAAACGAAAGCUAAUACCGCAUAAAAACUUUAAACACAAGUUUUAAGAUUGAAAGAUGCAAUUGCAUCACUUAAAGAUUAUACCGCGUUUUAUUAGCUAGUUGGGGAGGUAAAGGGUCACCAAGGCGAUGAUACCUAGCCGACCUGGGAGGGUGGUCGGCCCACUUGGGACUGAGACCCGGCCCCAGCUCCUGAGGGAGGCAGCCGUAAGGGAUUUUCGGGCAUGGGGGGAAGUCCUAACGGACAAAGGCGGGUGAGUGGAGAAGGGUUUCGGAUCGUUAAACUCUGUUGAUAGAGGAAAACGAUAGUUGGAAUUGAAAGCGCACCAAGUGACGGUACCUAAUCAGAAAGCGACGGCUAACUACGUG
RNAcentral lists this ribosomal RNA (497 nucleotides) under uncultured bacterium. RNAcentral's name for it is "partial 16S ribosomal RNA". It matches the Rfam family "Bacterial small subunit ribosomal RNA", at positions 28 to 507 of the family's 1533-position model. The record is from RNAcentral.